RNAcentral lists this ribosomal RNA (468 nucleotides) under uncultured bacterium. Its description in RNAcentral is "partial 16S ribosomal RNA". It matches the Rfam family "Bacterial small subunit ribosomal RNA", at positions 28 to 507 of the family's 1533-position model. The record is from RNAcentral.
GACGAACGCUGGCGGCGUGCUUAACACAUGCAAGUCGAACGGAAAGGCCCUGCUUUUGUGGGGUGCUCGAGUGGCGCACGGGUGAGUAACACGUGAGUAACCUGCCCUUGACUUUGGGAUAACUUCAGGAAACUGGGGCUAAUACCGGAUAGGAGCUCCUGCUGCAUGGUGGGGGUUGGAAAGUUUCGGCGGUUGGGGAUGGACUCGCGGCUUAUCAGCUUGUUGGUGGGGUAGUGGCUUACCAAGGCUUUGACGGGUAGCCGGCCUGAGAGGGUGACCGGCCACAUUGGGACUGAGAUACGGCCCAGACUCCUACGGGAGGCAGCAGUGGGGAAUAUUGCACAAUGGGCGGAAGCCUGAUGCAGCGACGCCGCGUGCGGGAUGACGGCCUUCGGGUUGUAAACCUCUUUCGCCUGUGACGAAGCGUGAGUGACGGUAAUUGGUAAAGAAGCACCGGCUAACUACGUG